This 488-nucleotide ribosomal RNA is filed under the name uncultured bacterium. Its description in RNAcentral is "bacterial SSU rRNA". It matches the Rfam family "Bacterial small subunit ribosomal RNA", at positions 28 to 507 of the family's 1533-position model. The record is from RNAcentral.
GAUGAACGCUGGCGGCAUGCCUAAUACAUGCAAGUCGGACGAGGAUGUUUCUACAUCCUAGUGGCGAACGGGUGAGUAACACGUAGGGAACCUGCCCCUAAGACGAGGAUAACUACUGGAAACGGUAGCUAAUACUGGAUAGGAUAAGUUGACGCAUGUUGGCUUAUUUAAAGGUGCCUAUAAAGCACCGCUUAGGGAUGGCCCUGCGGCGCAUUAGCUAGUUGGUGGGGUAACGGCCUACCAAGGCGACGAUGCGUAGCUGUGCUGAGAGGCAGAACAGCCACACUGGGACUGAGACACGGCCCAGACUCCUACGGGAGGCAGCAGUAGGGAAUUUUCGGCAAUGGGGGGGAACCCUGACCGAGCGAUGCCGCGUGAGUGAUGAAGGUCUUCGGACUGUAAAACUCUGUUAUUAGGGAAGAAUACUAUAGGGAGGAAAUGCCUUAUAGAUGACGGUACCUAAUGAGGAAGCCCCGGCCAACUAUGUG